AGAACUAGCAAGAUCUUUUUCUUUCAAACUUCCAACAUGUCAAAAAUAUCCUCUUGGCACUCCCCGCUGGCUGCAGCCUGACACGCCGCGCGGCCCCCCAGUCUCCCCAGCCCCCUCCCCCAGGCAUGGCCCAGGGCCUCGCCUCACUAUGGCAGCAGCACGGCACAGCACCCUUGACUUCAUGCUCGGCACCAAAGCUGAUGGUGAGACCAUUCUGAAAGGCCUCCAGUCCAUUUUCCAGGAGCAGGGGAUGAUGGGGUCGGUGCACACCUGGCAGGACCAUGGCUAUUUAGCGACCUACGUAAACAAAAACGGCAGCUUUGCCAAUCUGAGAAUUUACCCGCAUGGAUUGGUGUUGCUGGACCUUCAGAGUUACGACAGUAAUGCGCAAGGCAAAGAAGUUGACAGUCUUUUGAGCAAAGUAGAAGAAAGAAUGAAAGAAUUGAGUCAGGACAGUACUGAGCGGGUGAAGCGAUCACCACCCAUAGUUCGAGGAGGGGCCAUUGACAGAUGCUGGCCCACUGCAGAUGGCCGCCUGGUUGAGUACGACAUAGAUGAAGUGGGGUAUGAUGAAGACUCACCUUACCAGAACAUUAAAAUUUUACACUCAAAACAAUUUGGAAAUAUUCUCAUCCUCAGUGGGGAUGUUAAUUUGGCGGAAAGUGAUCUGGCGUAUACCCGGGCCAUCAUGGGCAGCGGCAAAGAAGAUUACACUGGCAAAGAUGUACUGAUUCUAGGAGGCGGAGAUGGGGGCAUAUUAUGUGAAAUAGUCAAACUGAAACCAAAGAUGGUCACUAUGGUAGAGAUUGACCAAAUGGUGAUUGACGCAUGUAAGAAAUCCAUGCGAAAAACAUGUGGUGAUGUCCUAGACAAUCUUAAAGGAGACUGCUAUCAGGUUCUAACAGAAGACUGUAUUCCAGUACUGAAGAGGUACGCCAAAGAAGGGAGAGAGUUUGAUUAUGUGAUUAAUGAUUUGACAGCUGUUCCAAUCUCCACAUCUCCGGAAGAAGAUUCCACAUGGGAGUUUCUCAGACUGAUUCUUGACCUCUCAAUGAAAGUAUUGAAACAGGAUGGGAAAUAUUUUACACAGGGGAACUGUGUCAAUUUGACUGAAGCCCUGUCACUCUAUGAAGGACAGCUGGGGCACCUGUAUUGUCCUGUGGAAUUCUUGAAGGAGAUCGUCUGUGUCCCUUCAUACUUGGAAUUGUGGAUAUUUUACACUGUUUGGAAGAAAGCUAAACCUUGAAAAUCAAUUUCCCCUAAUCAUGUGUGCUGCAAAUAGCCUUCCUGACCUUCAUAUGCUGUACAUGACAUCGAAAGGAGUCAGGCAAUUAAUUGUGAAUUCCUUCAAGUUUCCUUUUUUAAAUUAUUUUUUAAUUUAAAAAUCAAAUGGAAAAUGUAUAUUUUUAUGAACUAGAGUUAUUUUUUUGAAGGAUGAUUAGACAGCACAGUGAAGGCUGCUAAAUGCACUGAACCUCUAGAAUGUGAUUUUUGUUUUUGUUUUUCUGUGUGGGCUUUUUUUGUUUCUGUUUUGGUAGACUUCGAAUUUGAUUGUUUGGAGGAAUGAACAUCAUUGUUUUCUUCUGGAGGGAAGCUCUUGACGGGAGUUCCUUUUCCCCCCAAAUUGACAUAGGUAUUAAAAUUUGGUGCUUAUAAGGAAAGACUUUUAAAAAUGAAUAGCAAUGCUUCGAUUAAAAUUACAAAUGAGAAAAAAAAAA
This is a non-coding RNA of Delphinapterus leucas (beluga whale), 1718 nucleotides long. NCBI's taxonomy places the organism in Eukaryota, Metazoa, Chordata, Mammalia, Artiodactyla, Monodontidae. The record is from RefSeq and is a predicted model, not a curated record.